CCAAUAGCGUAUAUUAAAGUUGUUGCAGUUAAAAAGCUCGUAGUUGAACCUCGGGAUCAAUGGGUCGGUCAUGCCAAUGGUAUGUACUGGCCUCAUUGGUUCUCACCUUCUAAGGAACCAUGAUGUCAUUCAUUUGAUGUUGUGGGGAAUUAGGACUGUUACCUUGAAAAAAUUAGAGUGUUUAAAGCAGGCUAACGCUUGAAUACAUUAGCAUGGAAUAAUGAAAUAGGACAUCGCAUUCUAUUUUGUUGGUUUCUAGGAUCGAUGUAAUGAUUAAUAGGGAUAGUUGGGGGCAUUAGUAUUCAAUUGUCAGAGGUGAAAUUCUUGGAUUUAUUGAAGACUAACUACUGCGAAAGCAUUUGCCAAGGAUGUUUUCAUUAAUCAAGAACGAAAGUUAGGGGAUCGAAGACGAUCAGAUACCGUCGUAGUCUUAACCAUAAACUAUGCCGACUAGGGAUCGGAUGAUGUUGAUUUUUUAAUGACUCAUUCGGCACCUUACG
RNAcentral lists this ribosomal RNA (500 nucleotides) under uncultured Glomeromycotina. Its description in RNAcentral is "partial small subunit ribosomal RNA". It matches the Rfam family "Eukaryotic small subunit ribosomal RNA", at positions 591 to 1092 of the family's 1831-position model. The record is from RNAcentral. Lineage: Eukaryota; Fungi; Glomeromycota.